Molecule: ribosomal RNA, 253 nt
Filed under: uncultured bacterium
Lineage: Bacteria
Description: partial 16S ribosomal RNA
Rfam family: Bacterial small subunit ribosomal RNA
Source: RNAcentral
UACAGAGGUCCCGAGCGUUGUUCGGAUUCACUGGGCGUAAAGGGUGCGUAGGUGGUGAGGAAAGUCGGAUGUGAAAUCUCCGGGCUUAACCCGGAAACUGCAUUGGAAACUACCUUGCUAGAGGUUUUGAGGGGGGACUGGAAUUCUCGGUGUAGCAGUGAAAUGCGUAGAUAUCGAGAGGAACAUCAGUGGCGAAGGCGAGUCCCUGGAAAACACCUGACACUGAGGCACGAAAGCUAGGGGAGCAAACAGG